AGAUGUUUAACUCAGUGGUAGAGUUAUGCUUUUACACAGCAUGGGUCAAAAGUUCGAAUCUUUUAACAUCUA
This 72-nucleotide transfer RNA is filed under the name Candidatus Vidania fulgoroideorum. RNAcentral's name for it is "beta proteobacterium endosymbiont of Hyalesthes obsoletus HO1-V tRNA". It matches the Rfam family "tRNA". Rfam says of the family: Transfer RNA (tRNA) molecules are approximately 80 nucleotides in length. Their secondary structure includes four short double-helical elements and three loops (D, anti-codon, and T loops). The record is from Rfam by way of RNAcentral. Lineage: Bacteria; Pseudomonadati; Pseudomonadota; Betaproteobacteria.